GGAUGUGAGGGCGGCCUGGCUGCAACCUCUGUCACCCCACUGAUCGCCAGGGUUGAUUCGGCUGACCUGGCUAGCUAGGCAGGUGUCCCCUUCCUCCCUCACCGCUCCAUGUGCAUCUCUCCUGAAGCUGCACACUCAGUCAAAGAGGACAGCCUUCCCCGAAUAGAGACGGACCGGUCUUCGGUCGAGGGUAUAUGAGUAGCUGCGCUCCCCUGCUAGGACCUCCAAGCAAGCUCUCAAGAAGUCAUGAAACAGAGAAUGCAUGGCAUAAUACUCGACAAUGAAAAUGAUAGUACUGUAUCCUUUGGAACAAAAUGGGUGAAACU
Unclassified non-coding RNA from Erinaceus europaeus (western European hedgehog), 326 nucleotides. Its record names the gene 7SK. It matches the Rfam family "7SK RNA". From Rfam's summary of the family: 7SK was discovered as an abundant small nuclear RNA in the mid-70s but a possible function has only recently been suggested. Two independent studies have found that 7SK RNA binds the CDK9/cyclin T complex (known as elongation factor P-TEFb). P-TEFb activates transcription by phosphorylating the C-terminal domain of RNA polymerase II. NCBI's taxonomy places the organism in Eukaryota, Metazoa, Chordata, Mammalia, Eulipotyphla, Erinaceidae. The record is from Ensembl.